RNAcentral lists this ribosomal RNA (467 nucleotides) under uncultured bacterium. Its description in RNAcentral is "partial 16S ribosomal RNA". It matches the Rfam family "Bacterial small subunit ribosomal RNA", at positions 28 to 507 of the family's 1533-position model. The record is from RNAcentral.
GAUGAACGCUGGCGGCGUGCUUAACACAUGCAAGUCGAACGGAAAGGCCCAAGCUUGCUUGGGUACUCGAGUGGCGAACGGGUGAGUAACACGUGGGUGAUCUGCCCUGCACUUCGGGAUAAGCCUGGGAAACUGGGUCUAAUACCGGAUAGGACCACAUUUUGGAUGGUGUGGUGGAAAGUUUUUCGGUGUGGGAUGAGCUCGCGGCCUAUCAGCUUGUUGGUGGGGUAAUGGCCUACCAAGGCGUCGACGGGUAGCCGGCCUGAGAGGGUGUACGGCCAAAGGGGGAGUGGAGACCGGCACAGCCCCCAACGGGAGGAGGCAGGGGGAAAUAGUGCAAAAUGGGCGAAAGCUGAAUGAGGGACGGCGGGGGGGGGAAGGACGGCCUGGGGGUUGUAAGUUCCUUCGGCUGGGAACGAAGGGUUUUUGUGAGGGUCCCUGGAGAAGAAGCCCCGGCAAACUACGUC